UCUGACUUGAGUGCAGAAGGGGAGAGUGGAAUUCCAUGUGUAGCGGUGAAAUGCGUAGAUAUAUGGAGGANCACCAGUGGCGAAAGCGGCUCUCUGGUCUGUCACUGACGCUGAGGCUCGAAAGCGUGGGUAGCGAACAGGAUUAGAUACCCUGGUAGUCCACGCCGUAAACGAUGAGUGCUGGGUGUUAGGCCCUUUCCGGGGCUUAGUGCCGGAGCUAACGCAAUAAGCACUCCGCCUGGGGAGUACGACCGCAAGGUUGAAACUCAAAGGAAUUGACGGGGGCCCGCACAAGCGGUGGAGCAUGUGGUUUAAUUCGAAGCAACGCGAAGAACCUUACCAGGUCUUGACAUCCCGAUGCUAUUCUUAGAGAUAGGAAGUUACUUCGGUACAUCGGAGACAGGUGGUGCAUGGUUGUCGUCAGCUCGUGUCGUGAGAUGUUGGGUUAAGUCCCGCAACGAGCGCAACCCUUAUUGUUAGUUGCCAUCAUUAAGUUGGGCACUCUAGCGAGACUGCCGGUAAUAAACCGGAGGAAGGUGGGGAUGACGUCAAAUCAUCAUGCCCCUUAUGACCUGGGCUACACACGUGCUACAAUGGUCGGUACAACGAGUUGCGAGCCGGUGACGGCAAGCUAAUCUCUGAAAGCCGAUCUCAGUUCGGAUUGGAGGCUGCAACUCGCCUCCAUGAAGUCGGAAUCGCUAGUAAUCGCGGAUCAGCACGCCGCGGUGAAUACGUUCCCGGGCCUUGUACACACCGCCCGUCACACCACGAGAGUUUGUAACACCCGAAGUCGGNGAGGUA
RNAcentral lists this ribosomal RNA (801 nucleotides) under uncultured bacterium. RNAcentral describes it as "bacterial SSU rRNA". It matches the Rfam family "Bacterial small subunit ribosomal RNA", at positions 636 to 1437 of the family's 1533-position model. The record is from RNAcentral.